This is a long non-coding RNA of Symphalangus syndactylus (siamang), 735 nucleotides long. RefSeq lists it as uncharacterized. The record is from RefSeq and is a predicted model, not a curated record. Lineage: Eukaryota; Metazoa; Chordata; Mammalia; Primates; Hylobatidae.
CACACAGUGGGCCCUCAAUUAACAUUUUCUCAUCAAAUGGGGAACAAACAAAAGUGUGAGCGAAUGAGCUGGCCAGGGCGGCACCUGGAGCUCCUGGCCCCUUUCCAGCUCCUGGACUUCAGAGCUUUUCCUGUGCCCACCUGUCCCCCAGCUGGGGCUUCAGAUGGAAACUCAGCUUCCUCAUUGGUCUCAUGGAUGACUUCCUCCCACUGCCACACCCCACACAGAGGGUUGGAGAGAUCAGCAGUUGCCACUUCCUGUUUCUGAGACAGAAGUUGUUUCCGAGGUCAGCGAGAGCCAUAUUAAGGAAAGUAGCCAAACCACCUCCAUGGCUCUGGAAAGGUGUGGAAGUGGUGGAGUGAGAGUCCCAGCCCAGAUAAGGGAUCACCACCAGAAGAUGAAGAAUAUGGUAUGUCCAGAGAUCCAAAGGCAAUGCGGGCCUCGCAGUGGAUGCCAGCACACAGUGGUGACAAACGCUUGGACAAAACCCAUCAAUCUCAUGAACAGCAGAGAGGAGAAACACUGAGUGAGGACCAGCAGCCUCCUAGAGCACUAGGCUCCUGCGUCAGUCUCCUGCAGCUUAGACACCACCUUGAGGUGGGGGGUGGUGACAGGUUUCAUUGUCAAUUGAUGAGUUUGUUUCAAUCUAAAAAAAAUUAGGUGGGCCCAGAAUGAACUAAGAUGAUGUUUUUCUGUCUUGGAUGGAACGGGGCUUGAAUUAAAUGUGAAGCUGAA